This 474-nucleotide ribosomal RNA is filed under the name Flavobacterium sp. WB2.2-3. RNAcentral describes it as "bacterial SSU rRNA". It matches the Rfam family "Bacterial small subunit ribosomal RNA", at positions 10 to 486 of the family's 1533-position model. The record is from RNAcentral. Lineage: Bacteria; Pseudomonadati; Bacteroidota; Flavobacteriia; Flavobacteriales; Flavobacteriaceae.
AGUUGAUCCUGGCUCAGGAUGAACGCUAGCGGCAGGCUUAACACAUGCAAGUCGAGGGGUAUAAGUCUUCGGAUUUAGAGACCGGCGCACGGGUGCGUAACGCGUAUGCAAUCUACCUUUUACAGAGGGAUAGCCCAGAGAAAUUUGGAUUAAUACCUCAUAGCAUAGCAGCUUCGCAUGAAGCCACUAUUAAAGUCACAACGGUAAAAGAUGAGCAUGCGUCCCAUUAGCUAGUUGGUAAGGUAACGGCUUACCAAGGCUACGAUGGGUAGGGGUCCUGAGAGGGAGAUCCCCCACACUGGUACUGAGACACGGACCAGACUCCUACGGGAGGCAGCAGUGAGGAAUAUUGGACAAUGGGCGCAAGCCUGAUCCAGCCAUGCCGCGUGCAGGAUGACGGUCCUAUGGAUUGUAAACUGCUUUUAUACGAGAAGAAACACUCCUUCGUGAAGGAGCUUGACGGUAUCGUAAGAA